Molecule: long non-coding RNA, 334 nt
Organism: Xenopus tropicalis (tropical clawed frog)
Lineage: Eukaryota; Metazoa; Chordata; Amphibia; Anura; Pipidae
Exons: 2
Source: RefSeq, a predicted model, not a curated record
UCACCUUCGGAUGCAUUGUGAUUUUUUAAGCCAGAGUUUUAGUCAGAAUGUUUUAGCAUUCAGUUUAGCCAGUGCACUAAAAAUAUUAAUCAGGUUGUGUUACAAACAGGGUUUCAGUGUCUUGGUGCAGAGAAUAUUUGGAGUGCUGUGUGUGUGGCAGUGAUCAAGGAAGGAGUAAAAGAACUAAAGUUCGCUCUCUGGAAUCCUUGUGAUACACCCACCAAGAGGGGGUAGAAGGAAAGAGAAGUGCAAUGAAGUUGUAUGAAGAUUAACACACUUUAGAACCACACAGAGUGCUGGCUGGCUUUCUUGUUUUUCCUUACAAAUAUAAUAA